GAUGAGUUGCGAACGGGUGAGUAACGCGUAGGUAACCUGCCUUGUAGCGGGGGAUAACUAUUGGAAACGAUAGCUAAUACCGCAUAACAAUGGAUGACACAUGUCAUUUAUUUGAAAGGGGCAAUUGCUCCACUACAAGAUGGACCUGCGUUGUAUUAGCUAGUAGGUGAGGUAAUGGCUCACCUAGGCGACGAUACAUAGCCGACCUGAGAGGGUGAUCGGCCACACUGGGACUGAGACACGGCCCAGACUCCUACGGGAGGCAGCAGUAGGGAAUCUUCGGCAAUGGGGGCAACCCUGACCGAGCAACGCCGCGUGAGUGAAGAAGGUUUUCGGAUCGUAAAGCUCUGUUGUAAGUCAAGAACGGGUGUGAGAGUGGAAAGUUCACACUGUGACGGUAGCUUACCAGAAAGGGACGGCUAACUACGUGCCAGCAGCCGCGGUAAUACGUAGGUCCCGAGCGUUGUCCGGAUUUAUUGGGCGUAAAGCGAGCGCAGGCGGUUUGAUAAGUCUGAAGUUAAAGGCUGUGGCUCAACCAUAGUUCGCUUUGGAAACUGUCAAACUUGAGUGCAGAAGGGGAGAGUGGAAUUCCAUGUGUAGCGGUGAAAUGCGUAGAUAUAUGGAGGAACACCGGUGGCGAAAGCGGCUCUCUGGUCUGUAACUGACGCUGAGGCUCGAAAGCGUGGGGAGCGAACAGGAUUAGAUACCCUGGUAGUCCACGCCGUAAACGAUGAGUGCUAGGUGUUGGAUCCUUUCCGGGAUUCAGUGCCGCAGCUAACGCAUUAAGCACUCCGCCUGGGGAGUACGACCGCAAGGUUGAAACUCAAAGGAAUUGACGGGGGCCCGCACAAGCGGUGGAGCAUGUGGUUUAAUUCGAAGCAACGCGAAGAACCUUACCAGGUCUUGACAUCCCGAUGCUAUUUCUAGAGAUAGAAAGUUACUUCGGUACAUCGGUGACAGGUGGUGCAUGGUUGUCGUCAGCUCGUGUCGUGAGAUGUUGGGUUAAGUCCCGCAACGAGCGCAACCCCUAUUGUUAGUUGCCAUCAUUCAGUUGGGCACUCUAGCGAGACUGCCGGUAAUAAACCGGAGGAAGGUGGGGAUGACGUCAAAUCAUCAUGCCCCUUAUGACCUGGGCUACACACGUGCUACAAUGGUUGGUACAACGAGUUGCGAGUCGGUGACGGCGAGCUAAUCUCUUAAAGCCAAUCUCAGUUCGGAUUGUAGGCUGCAACUCGCCUACAUGAAGUCGGAAUCGCUAGUAAUCGCGGAUCAGCACGCCGCGGUGAAUACGUUCCCGGGCCUUGUACACACCGCCCGUCACACCACGAGAGUUUGU
This 1336-nucleotide ribosomal RNA is filed under the name Streptococcus thermophilus. RNAcentral describes it as "bacterial SSU rRNA". It matches the Rfam family "Bacterial small subunit ribosomal RNA", at positions 90 to 1415 of the family's 1533-position model. The record is from RNAcentral. Lineage: Bacteria; Bacillati; Bacillota; Bacilli; Lactobacillales; Streptococcaceae.